GGAGGUCUGUGGGGAGCACUGGUUUCCCCAGGCCCCAGAGACUUAAACACAGGAAGAAAAAGGCAAGAGAGAAUUAACGAUGCCACAGCCCAUGGCAGACAGCGGCCCUGCCUCCUACCCUUGCGUCUCAGGACCAGCUUGUUGAAGAGAUCCCACAUCAGUUCCCUGCCUUGGCUUACGGCUCUCACUGCAAUAGGAAAGCCACGGAGUGGGGUGUGGGGUUCAGUCACAUUUGACCCCCGGCUCCGUGUUCCUGUCCCCUGUAGUGUUUUUGUUAUUAGACCCUUUUUUCUCCUUGGUUUAGGAAUGGGGGCCCCAGGGCCACCCUUGUCCAGGCUCCCUCUACCGUAGAGGUGAGAAUUCCAGGGA
This 369-nucleotide long non-coding RNA is filed under the name Homo sapiens (human). Its description in RNAcentral is "long non-coding RNA NONHSAT231156". Lineage: Eukaryota; Metazoa; Chordata; Mammalia; Primates; Hominidae. The record is from RNAcentral.